RNAcentral lists this ribosomal RNA (253 nucleotides) under uncultured bacterium. RNAcentral's name for it is "partial 16S ribosomal RNA". It matches the Rfam family "Bacterial small subunit ribosomal RNA", at positions 524 to 776 of the family's 1533-position model. The record is from RNAcentral.
UACGUAGGUGGCAAGCGUUGUCCGGAAUUAUUGGGCGUAAAGCGCGCGCAGGCGGUCCUUUAAGUCUGAUGUGAAAGCCCACGGCUCAACCGUGGAGGGUCAUUGGAAACUGGGGGACUUGAGUGCAGGAGAGAAGAGUGGAAUUCCACGUGUAGCGGUGAAAUGCGUAGAGAUGUGGAGGAACACCAGUGGCGAAGGCGGCUUUCUGGACAGUAACUGACGCUGAGGCGCGAAAGCUAGGGGAGCAAACAGG